Molecule: long non-coding RNA, 1701 nt
Filed under: Canis lupus familiaris (dog)
Lineage: Eukaryota; Metazoa; Chordata; Mammalia; Carnivora; Canidae
Description: lncRNA (ENSCAFG00845009689.1)
Source: RNAcentral
UCUGCAGCGUCCAGCUGGAGCACGAUCCUUGGGGGGCUCCGAGGAGCAUUGCUGUGCGGGCGACCGCGCGCUGCAAACCUUGCGGGGGUGGAUCCCGGCGCGGGCCAGGGCAGGGGGCGCUGGAGGGGGCGGGGUAAGGCUGCUCCCUGGUCCCCGCGACCCCCCGUGGCCCUCCCCGCAGCAGCGCGCUCCGGGGGCCGGUCGGGUCGGCCCCGCUCGCCGGUCCCAGCCCCACUCCGGCCCCGCCCGGCCCCGCCCUCUCCCCACGGCUCCGGGCAGACCCGCCCGCCCGAGCCGGAGUUACAAGAGCCGCCUCCGCGCGCGAGGGCCGGGCCACUCGGAGCAGCUCCGCCGGGGGGACUGCACCGCCCGCCCUGCCGGACCCGCCCCGACCGGGGCUCGCCGCCUGCAGUAGCCGCAGCACCGCGACCUGGGGCCCCGCGCGGGCUGUGGCCGCGCCCCGGGGCUGAGCGCGCAGGUAGGGGCGCCGGGCGCAGCGCGAACCGGAGAGGGGACGUGGGCCGUAGGGAUGGGCGAGGCGCUCGGGCCGGGCGCUCGGCUGCCGCCCAGGCCGCGGGGAGCAAGCUGGGCCGCCCCGGGGCCGCCCGGGGAGGCGGCGCGGCGCGCCCUGGGAGCCAAGCUCUGCCUCCGGAGUUGGGGCGCGAGUUGGGCAAAGUUGGAAACGUCGCUCGGAAGCGUGUUUUGCUGCAGCCCUUAUUUCCCUCGGGGGCUGCUUGUUGGUUGGGGUGCCCCGUUCCUGGCCUGGGGGCCGCUGGUGCCCUCCGCCCCAUCCCCUCCUUCUCCUUGGGGCGGUGGCUCAGCGCGCUGCGCCCGCUCCUAUUCCGUGUUUACUGGAGAAGUUUCCGACGUCGUCGCCGAGGCCCCUCCCGGAGUCCCCCGCCCCCGCGCCCGCGCCCGCGCUCCGUCCCCGCUCCCCGCACCUCCGUCUCCAGCUGCGCGUCCGGAGUCCUCCCGGUCCCACCCAGUCCUGUGCCACCGGCCUGUGCCUGCCCCGCCCUGGGCUCGCCGCUCCGCGGUCCCCGCUCCAGGAGCCUCCCUCCGUCCUGCCCUAACUUUGCAGCGCGCCUCAGGGCGGGCCGGGUGGGAGAAGGGGCGGGGGGCGUAAUUAGGGAGAUUCCAGCGCUGGGGUGGGCGGGGACGCGGUGCGGUGCGGGCCCGGCCCUCGGCCCGGCCCCUCCCCUCCCCUCCCCUCCCCUCCCCUCCCCUGGGGGGCGGCGCGCUCGCCCACCGCGCUCCCUACCCGUCCGGGCGGGACGGCCCCGCCCCUGCGCCUGGCUCGGCGCCAGCAGCCUGAGGAAUGUGUGGCUGGAGCCGCUGACUAAUUCAAACCAGAACUCGGGGAGGAGUGGUGAGGGGCCGAGGGGAGGGGGAGGAAGGGGCUGCUGGGGCGGCGGGGGCGGGAGCAGGGAGGAGGGCUCGGCGCGCGCCUGGACCCUCCGCGGCAGCCGCGCGCUCCGGGAGGGGGGGGCGAGGUCUUGCGCUGUCGGGCGGGCCGAGCGCGCGGGGUGUGCUCGCAGCGCCGUGUUAUGUAAGGCUUUCCCAGGCGGGGGGCGGGCGUGCAGCGGGGGAGGGCCGGCCCUCCCUCCCCGGCCCUCCCCGGCCCUCCCCUGCCGCGCCAGGGCCGGGAAUCUGGGGGCGCAGCCCUGGGCGGCGCCGGCCGGGAGGGACACGCGGGGCUGA